RNAcentral lists this ribosomal RNA (329 nucleotides) under uncultured eukaryote. RNAcentral's name for it is "partial 18S ribosomal RNA". It matches the Rfam family "Eukaryotic small subunit ribosomal RNA", at positions 1470 to 1796 of the family's 1831-position model. The record is from RNAcentral.
CCCUUAGAUGUUCUGGGCCGCACGCGCGCUACACUGACAAGGCCAACGAGUUUAUAACCUUCACCGGUAGGUGUGGGUAAUCUUUUGAACCCUUGUCGUGCUGGGGCUAGAUCUUUGUAAUUUUCGAUCUUCAACGAGGAAUUCCUAGUAAGCGUGAUUCAUCAGAUCGCGUUGAUUACGUCCCUGCCCUUUGUACACACCGCCCGUCGCUACUACCGAUCGAAUGGUUUAGUGAGUUGUUGGGACUGGCACUGGGGGACUGGCAACAGUCCGCUUGAGCCGGGAACUUCUGCAAACUUGAUCAUUUAGAGGAAGUAAAAGUCGUAACA